Molecule: long non-coding RNA, 341 nt
Organism: Nomascus leucogenys (northern white-cheeked gibbon)
Lineage: Eukaryota; Metazoa; Chordata; Mammalia; Primates; Hylobatidae
Exons: 2
Source: RefSeq, a predicted model, not a curated record
CUGCAUUUCGGGAACCCGGAUGCUGCGCAUGCGCUUCUUUCAUCUUCCCAUCAUGGCCGCCGCCUGUGCUUCUCUGCUAAGUCACCCUGCACUCAUUGGAUCUCAUUGGAUCAGCUGACUACCUAGACCGGUAACCUGGCUCAAUCAGUUCUGCCAUUCCACCCAGGAACAGAAAACAGCAAGAAAACCUCACUUCGACUCCCUGUGAUUCCGUCUUCAACCUGACCAAUCAGCACUUCCCGCUUCUCAAGCUCCUACUCGCCAAAUUAUCUUUAAGAACUCUGAUCCUCAAAUACUCAGGGAGACUAAUUUGUGUAAUAAUAAAACUCUGGUCUCCCACA